RNAcentral lists this ribosomal RNA (500 nucleotides) under uncultured bacterium. Its description in RNAcentral is "partial 16S ribosomal RNA". It matches the Rfam family "Bacterial small subunit ribosomal RNA", at positions 28 to 523 of the family's 1533-position model. The record is from RNAcentral.
GAUGAACGCUAGCGGCAGGCUUAAUACAUGCAAGUCGUGGGGCAGCAUGAGUAGCAAUACUUGAUGGCGACCGGCAAACGGGUGCGGAACACGUACACAACCUUCCGAUAAGUGGGGAAUAGCCCAGAGAAAUUUGGAUUAAUACCCCGUAACAUAUAGAGUAGGCAUCUUCUUUAUAUUAUAGCUUCGGCGCUUAUUGAUGGGUGUGCGUCUGAUUAGGUAGUUGGCGGGGUAACGGCCCACCAAGCCUCCGAUCAGUAGCUGAUGUGAGAGCAUGAUGGGACACACGGGCACGGAGAAGCGGGCCCGAAUCCUACGGAAGGCAGCAGUAAGGAAUAAUGGACAAUGGGAGUAAGCCUGAUCCAGCCAUGCCGCGUGAAGGAUUAAGGUCCUCUGGACUGUAAACUUCUUUUAUUUGGGACGAAAAAAGGGAAUUCUUUCCCACUUGACGGUACCAAGUGAAUAAGCACCGGCUAACUCCGUGCCAGCCGCCGCCGUAA